This 639-nucleotide ribosomal RNA is filed under the name Erythrobasidium hasegawianum. RNAcentral describes it as "eukaryotic LSU rRNA". The stretch from base 188 to 341 matches the Rfam family "5.8S ribosomal RNA". The record is from RNAcentral. Lineage: Eukaryota; Fungi; Basidiomycota; Cystobasidiomycetes; Erythrobasidiales; Erythrobasidiaceae.
GGAUCGCCCUUUCCGUAGGUGAACCUGCGGAAGGAUCAUUAAUGAAUUUUUAGGGCGCUCUUUUUAGAGGUCCGACCAAUUUCAUUUCCACACACCGUGAACACACUUCAUUUUUACACACAAUUUAUAAACACACAAGUCUAUAAGAAUGUAUAAAGUCUCUUAAUUGAGCAUAAAGUUAUAAUACAACUUUCGGCAACGGAUCUCUUGGCUCUCGCAUCGAUGAAGAACGCAGCGAAAUGCGAUACGUAAUGUGAAUUGCAGAAUUCAGUGAAUCAUCGAAUCUUUGAACGCACCUUGCACUCUUUGGUAUUCCGAAGAGUAUGUCUGUUUGAGUGUCAUGAAACUCUCAACCCCCUUGUUUUGUAACGAAGCAGGCGUGGGCUUGGAUUAUGGCUGUCUGCUGGACUCUUUAACUAGAGAUCGGCUCGGCUGAAAUAUACGAGUAACCCAGUUUGAACAUUAACGGCUUGACUCGGCGUAAUAGCUUUAUUUCGCUGAGGACGUUUCAUAUCAAGAUAGUGGUGCUUCUAAUGCGUCGUAGCGUCAGCUGCACAACCUUUAAGCUUUAGACCUCAAAUCAGUCAGGACUACCCGCUGAACUUAAGCAUAUCAAUAAGCGGAGGAAAGGGCGAUCCC